This 1122-nucleotide long non-coding RNA is filed under the name Homo sapiens (human). RNAcentral's name for it is "HSALNT0327307". The record is from RNAcentral. Lineage: Eukaryota; Metazoa; Chordata; Mammalia; Primates; Hominidae.
AGGUAAGGGCUCUGAACCUUCCUGCGUGCUACCCAAGGAGUGCCUAGGGCUACCAGGAGGCCCAGGGAGGAACCUUGAGACCUGAGAAAGGCUUUUCUUCCCCGAGAGGACCACUGCUCAGGCUCAGAGGCCAUGGGGUGAAGUGCACAAAAAAGUGGGCGUCCAGCCAUGCUCUAAGUCCCCCGAAGAUGAAGACCAGGGAGCAGCUUCCUCCAAUGAAGCAGCAGCAAUCAGAGGACCAGGAGGCUGAAGCCCUGAGCCCAGCCAGAGGCAGGAUCAGCCAAGUCUGGGACAGGCUUCAAUUAUUUUAGGCAGAGCUUCUGGUUCCUGGGCCUUCAGACUUGGACUAGAACUUCACUACCAGCUUUCCUGGGUCUCCAGCUUGCAGAGAGCAGAUCGCAGAACUUCUUAGCCUCCAUAAUCACAAGAACGUGUUUGCUUCCCCUUCCACCAUGAUUGUAAGUUUCCUGAGGCCUCCCCAGUCCUGCAGAACUGCUUUGAAGAAGACCACUGCGUCGGUAUUUGUGAAAUGUUUUGAGCCUCUGGAUUUAAAUAAGAUGGAAAACCAAAGCUCAGGGAGUUUUACAUGGGCAGGCAGCUGGUGAGGGCUGAGACUGGAGCCAGGCCAGUGGUCUUCAAAGGCUUUAGUCAAACUUUUUGACAGAUAUAAGAAAACCGAACUAAGGAAAAUACUUUCCUGGGAUCAUCCCUAUAUGAAGUGGCAGACCUGGAAUUGCUCCCUGUUUCAAAACAUCUCCCGCCCCCACCCAGGCCUGCUCAGAAGAACCCAAGCCACUCAGAAGCAGGAGGCAGCCUUCACCCCAACCAGACCAAUAUCCGUUCCAGACUCAGGAUUACAACAAUCUGGGAGAGGGUCAACCAAGUCAGAGUCCCACAUGGCAGAAGAGCUGCUUUAGCUUAAGACUCUUAACUCUUUUUCUUCGGGGCAGGAAAGGUUUGAGCCAAUGAAGGAUGAGGCUUUCCAGGCCCAGGACACAACCUUGAUCCAAGGCCUAGUUGUGGCUUUAAUUUUUGUAAAUCAAGCCUCAAGUUUUUCUUCACUCUUUUAGCCAAAGAUAUGUUUCCCAGGAUGCAUGAAAUAAAUAAAUAAAAUGUACCAAA